RNAcentral lists this long non-coding RNA (225 nucleotides) under Lathyrus oleraceus (garden pea). Its description in RNAcentral is "Pisum sativum (pea) long non-coding RNA (PSAT_LNC018360)". The record is from RNAcentral. Lineage: Eukaryota; Viridiplantae; Streptophyta; Magnoliopsida; Fabales; Fabaceae.
CUCAACACUCUCUCUAAUAACUUUAUUUUUAAUUUUAUCUUGUCGAGUCUUACCAGACACCCAUCACAAUAUCCUCAUCUCUGCUACACUCACUUUAUUCUCGUGUUAAUUCUUAACCGUCCACCAUUUUGUCCCAUACAAAAUCGUAGGUCUUACCAUAGUCUGAUAAAACUUUCCCUUUAGCUUGAGUGGUACUUUUGCAUCACAUAAAAUACUUGAUGUUAU